CGCCUGUUUAUCAAAAACAUGUCCUUUUGUUAAUAAUUUAAGGUCUAGCCUGCCCACUGAAUAUUUAAUGGCCGCGGUAAUUUGACCGUGCUAAGGUAGCAUAAUCAUUAGUUUUUUAAUUGAAAGCUGGUAUGAAUGGUUGGAUGAGAAAAUAACUGUCUCUUAAAAAUUUUUUUUGAAUUUUAUAUUUAAGUUAAAAAGCUUAAAUUUUUUUAAAAGACGAGAAGACCCUAUAGAGUUUUAUAAAAUUAAUUAUUUGAGUUUUUAGUAUUUUUAUUUUGUAUAUUUAAUUUUAUUUGAUUGGGGUGAUUGAAAAAUUUAAUAAACUUUUUUUAUAUAAUUACAUAAAUUAAUGAUUAAUUGAUCCAUAGAAAUGAUUAUAAGAUUAAAUUACCUUAGGGAUAACAGCGUAAUUUUUUUUGAGAGUUCUAAUCGAAAAAAAAGUUUGCGACCUCGAUGUUGGAUUAAAGUUAAUUUU
RNAcentral lists this ribosomal RNA (478 nucleotides) under Mimorsidis yayeyamensis. Its description in RNAcentral is "partial 16S rRNA". It matches the Rfam family "Bacterial large subunit ribosomal RNA", at positions 1797 to 2548 of the family's 2925-position model. The record is from RNAcentral. Lineage: Eukaryota; Metazoa; Arthropoda; Insecta; Coleoptera; Cerambycidae.